CAGUCGAGCGAAGCUUUCGGGCUUAGCGGCGGACGGGUGAGUAACGCGUGGGAACGUGCCCUUUGGUACGGAAUAGUCCUGGGAAACUGGGUUUAAUACCGUAUAUUCUCUACGGAGGAAAGAUUUAUCGCCAAAGGAUCGGCCCGCGUUGGAUUAGGUAGUUGGUGGGGUAAUGGCCUACCAAGCCGACGAUCCAUAGCUGGUUUGAGAGGAUGAUCAGCCACACUGGGACUGAGACACGGCCCAGACUCCUACGGGAGGCAGCAGUGGGGAAUCUUAGACAAUGGGGGCAACCCUGAUCUAGCCAUGCCGCGUGAUCGAUGAAGGCCUUAGGGUUGUAAAGAUCUUUCGCUGGGGAAGAUAAUGACGGUACCCAGUAAAGAAGCCCCGGCUAACUCCGUGCCAGCAGCCGCGGUAAUACGGAGGGGGCUAGCGUUGUUCGGAAUUACUGGGCGUAAAGCGCGCGUAGGCGGAUUGGAAAGUUGGGGGUGAAAUCCCGGGGCUCAACCCCGGAACUGCCUCCAAAACUAUCAGUCUGGAGUUCGAGAGAGGUGAGUGGAAUUGCGAGUGUAGAGGUGAAAUUCGUAGAUAUUCGCAGGAACACCAGUGGCGAAGGCGGCUCACUGGCUCGAUACUGACGCUGAGGUGCGAAAGUGUGGGGAGCAAACAG
This 670-nucleotide ribosomal RNA is filed under the name bacterium SL4.24. RNAcentral describes it as "bacterial SSU rRNA". It matches the Rfam family "Bacterial small subunit ribosomal RNA", at positions 59 to 775 of the family's 1533-position model. The record is from RNAcentral.